Molecule: ribosomal RNA, 253 nt
Filed under: uncultured bacterium
Lineage: Bacteria
Description: partial 16S ribosomal RNA
Rfam family: Bacterial small subunit ribosomal RNA
Source: RNAcentral
UACAGAGGGGGCAAGCGUUGUUCGGAUUCAUUGGGCGUAAAGGGUGCGUAGGUGGCGGGGUAAGUCUGGUGUGAAAUCUCGGGGCUCAACCCCGAAACUGCACUGGAUACUGACUUGCUCGAGUACUGGAGAGGAGAUUGGAAUUUACGGUGUAGCAGUGAAAUGCGUAGAUAUCGUAAGGAAGACCAGUGGCGAAGGCGAAUCUCUGGACAGUUACUGACACUGAGGCACGAAGGCCAGGGGAGCAAACGGG